AACGCACAUUGCGCCCAUUGGUAUUCCGAUGGGCAUGCCUGUUCGAGCGUCAUUAUCCUCCCUCAAACCCUCGGUUUGGUGUUGGACUCUGGGGGGUGUUGAACCUCCCUGGUCUCAAAGACAAUGACGGCGUCCGUGGGACCCUCGGUGCAACGAGCUUUUCGGAGCACGCGUCGAGUUUUUCGUCCCGGCGGGCCGGUCGAGCCUUUUUUUUUUUUCAAGGUUGACCUCGGAUCAGGUAGGAAUACCCGCUGAACUUAA
This 261-nucleotide unclassified non-coding RNA is filed under the name uncultured fungus. RNAcentral describes it as "partial contains 5.8S ribosomal RNA, internal transcribed spacer 2, and large subunit ribosomal RNA". The stretch from base 1 to 52 matches the Rfam family "5.8S ribosomal RNA", at positions 103 to 154 of the family's 154-position model. Lineage: Eukaryota; Fungi. The record is from RNAcentral.